Long non-coding RNA from Zingiber officinale, 516 nucleotides. RefSeq lists it as uncharacterized. The record is from RefSeq and is a predicted model, not a curated record. The transcript has 2 exons. Lineage: Eukaryota; Viridiplantae; Streptophyta; Magnoliopsida; Zingiberales; Zingiberaceae.
GUGUGAGAGCGUUACGCCUCUUCCGCAGCCGUCCAUAUGUGAUCGGACAGUGGAUCUCGGAGUGGUAAAUUGUGACCGUUGGAUGAGUCUAUGUCUGAGACGCGGAUGCUUCGGUUUAGCGGUUUAAGGGAGACGGGGAGGAAAAGGUCGAGGAGGAGGCGAAGAUGUUCCGGAGGGGGAGGUUCUUGUCGUUCCCGAUGGUGAUCGGAGCCGUUGUGAUCGGAGUGGUCUCUGGUAAGGCAAUUUUCGGGCCGCCUCUUGAUGAGUACUGGACAAAGAAACUGCAGGAAGAGGCAGCAAAGAAGGGUGAUGCUGGGUCCAGCUAGUUGCCAGCGAAACAUGGCUAAGUGAUGAUUUGUUAUUCUCUUUCGUACCUUAAGUUUUUCGUCACCAAACUAAUACCAGUUGUAUGAAGGUUGUAGUUUCUUUCUUUCUUUUUUUUUUAAUCGAAAGUUAAGUGAGUUUUUACCAAAUUCUCUAGAAUAAUGAUGAAGCUUACAAUUUUAUUGGCGGUUA